This is a long non-coding RNA of Gorilla gorilla gorilla (western lowland gorilla), 627 nucleotides long. RefSeq lists it as uncharacterized. NCBI's taxonomy places the organism in Eukaryota, Metazoa, Chordata, Mammalia, Primates, Hominidae. The record is from RefSeq and is a predicted model, not a curated record. The transcript is spliced from 4 exons.
UGAGUACUUUGCAAUGCCUAAAUCAAAAUGGCCCUUCUAUGAUGCAUCUGUGAUGUAACCAGAGGGCAGUAACCCUUUCUUAUAGUUACAACCCAAUUAGCUCCAUGAGGGCCUUGAAAAGCACAGAACGACUUCCUUUAAGGAAAAACAUAGUGCUAUUUUAGAAAACUUUAACAGUGUGAUGGUCACAGAAAAUACCAUGAUCUUAAGGAAGUUGGGGAUAAGACGGAAGCAGACUGAGGAAAGAACAGGUCAAGGUUUCUGAUAGCUAAUUAACACCUCAGCAUUACAAUUCUGUUUUCCAUAAACUUCUGUGCAGAAAUCUGGGGAAUUCAAAAGAACUGGGGAGUGCUGAUCUCCCUGGAGUCUGAAGCCUGGAGAAACCAUCCAGAAGGCUGAAGCUAUUCAUCUCGAAGGAGCAGAUGUUGUCCCUCCCCAAGGAGUUAUUAUGGGUUGGAAGAAAUGAGAAAAUGAAUAUAAACAAGUUAUUCUGUGAAUGUUAUCAAAUAUGAUCAGCACCAACCAAAUAGAGCUCUAAAUGAGAAAAAGCAAAUGGACUCCAUGUGGUUGAAAUGUGGAGAGGAUUUUGAGAGAUGAAGCUUGAAAUACAGUUGACCCUUGAACAAG